UACGUAGGGUGCAAGCGUUAAUCGGAAUUACUGGGCGUAAAGCGUGCGCAGGCGGUUUUGUAAGUCUGUCGUGAAAUCCCCGGGCUCAACCUGGGAAUUGCGAUGGAGACUGCAAGGCUAGAAUCUGGCAGAGGGGGGUAGAAUUCCACGUGUAGCAGUGAAAUGCGUAGAGAUGUGGAGGAACACCGAUGGCGAAGGCAGCCCCCCGGGGUCAAGAUUGACGCUCAUGCACGAAAGCGUGGGGAGCAAACAGG
RNAcentral lists this ribosomal RNA (254 nucleotides) under uncultured bacterium. RNAcentral describes it as "partial 16S ribosomal RNA". It matches the Rfam family "Bacterial small subunit ribosomal RNA", at positions 524 to 776 of the family's 1533-position model. The record is from RNAcentral.